This is a long non-coding RNA of Dioscorea cayenensis subsp. rotundata (Guinea yam), 216 nucleotides long. RefSeq lists it as uncharacterized. The record is from RefSeq and is a predicted model, not a curated record. The transcript is spliced from 3 exons. Lineage: Eukaryota; Viridiplantae; Streptophyta; Magnoliopsida; Dioscoreales; Dioscoreaceae.
GCCCUACUCGGCCCCUUUCAUCACAACUCCUCAGGGAAGGGAGGGAGAUAAGGAACCCGGGGUGUCUUCAAGAGUGGCGUGGUUGUUGUUGGGGGAUGCAACGUCGCCGGGGCAAGCAUUCGAGAGAUGGGUGGCGCUGGUGCGUAAGCACUGCCGCCAGCUCCGGGACUCUGGAUUCCCUCAUCGGGCGCCCAAGAAUGUCGCCAUUCCCUUCGA